AUGAACGCUGGCGGCGUGCCUAACACAUGCAAGUCGAGCGGCAGCGAGGGGUGCUUGCACCCUGUCGGCGAGCGGCGGACGGCUGAGUAACGCGUGGGAACGUGCCCCAAAGUGAGGAAUAACUGCCCGAAAGGGUAGCUAAUACCGCAUAUUAUCUUCGGAUCGAAGGAUUUAUCCGCUUUGGGAGCGGCUCGCGUCGGAUUAGGUAGUUGGUGAGGUAAUGGCUCACCAAGCCGACGAUCCGUAGCUGGUCUGAGAGGAUGACCAGCCAGACUGGAACUGAGACACGGUCCAGACUCCUACGGGAGGCAGCAGUGAGGAAUCUUCCACAAUGGGCGAAAGCCUGAUGGAGCAACGCCGCGUGCAGGACGAAGGCCUUCGGGUUGUAAACUGCUUUUAUAAGUGAGGAAUAUGACGGUAACUUAUGAAUAAGGAUCGGCUAACUACGUG
RNAcentral lists this ribosomal RNA (450 nucleotides) under uncultured bacterium. RNAcentral describes it as "partial 16S ribosomal RNA". It matches the Rfam family "Bacterial small subunit ribosomal RNA", at positions 29 to 507 of the family's 1533-position model. The record is from RNAcentral.